AUGUCAAGGGAAUUUUGGGCACAGAUGUGCUAUCACAGUGACUCCAGUCUCUGUAACUCUGCUUCCCGACUCAGGUGCCUCAGCCUGUUUUACCAAGAGACAGAAGAAAACAGCCUACUCCUUCGAUUCUCUGUUUCUGCUCAACGGUGUAACAGAAAAGAUCUCCAUCCUCGCACCCUUCCCGAUUUUACCAAGGCAGGCUGCAGGCCCUCCCUUGACAAAGAGACUGGGGCAUUGUCACAUCUGUAUUUGUGCCCACAGUAUUUACAUCUUGGCACAGUUUGCAAAACAGCCUGCAACAACUUAUGCAAAGCUACACCACUAUUGCAAGUUGCAGCGAACCACGCUGUGAUGUGUAAGCAUAAGGGGGCAGGGUUGCACCUGAAAUGCCAAAAAGAGCAAGUGAGGAUAACAUGGGCUAUGGAAGGAGAGCUGGUGCUAGGUAGAGUCAUCCGUGUGACACUGCCUCUGCCUCGCAGGUGUCCUCGCUUUAGAGGACACUGUUGUGCUCAGAUCCAGAGCCAGACUAAUUCCAGUGACAGGGAUGGUGGCAGCACGGAUGAGGGCUUGUCUCAGCAUCUCACCAGACAGCCGCUGAAGGCAUCACAGCAAAAGCAAACGUGCUGCGACAUACCAUCUCAAGGAAAUUAAUGAAAUGAUGGACAAGGUGCCUAUAUGAAGCUACAAGUAAGCGCGAGGCAAAGCCCAGGGAAAUAGGAAGGUGGUAGCUUGAGGGAGACAGAUGCUGAGAGCUAAUCAAAGCCCAGGGGGUACGUCUUGGUACAGCAAGAGAGGUGGUACAUCACGUACAGGGAGACUACUGAGGACACUUGAAGCCCAUGACUGACGUGUCCGACGCAGGGGAGAAGGGGGAGCAGCAGCAGGACGGGCAAAGAGGGGAGACGCAGCCCCAGCAGCGGGCUAAGAGGUGGGUUUUUGCAGCAGCGCUGUGGUCGACUGUGUCGUAACAGGAUUUCCUCCACACACGCCAGGAAAAGGAGGUAACCGCAGUCAUGAAGACACAAGGGGAGGAGUGCUUGCAAGAGAGGGCAGGAGGCAGAGGUGAAAAUGUCUUGACUUUUUUAGUAUUUAAAUUCCAAGUCGCAAACCUAUCAGAAACACCACAUUUUUCAGUAACUUCUGGAUGUACUCUAUCGUUGAGCUAAUUCCCCUUCUGCUUCUGCGUAGAUGGGGUGCCAGGAGGAAAACUGCACUGCUUCCUGCCUCUGAUGGGGAAUUUACAGAAUACCAUUUAUAAUUUGUGCUGCACCAGUAAGACCCAAUUAUGAACCAAGACACUCGGCAGACACAGGCUAUCCCAGUCAGCCUUUUACGUCUGAAAAGGUUAACAAAAUGCAAACAGCAAUAACUUCCAGAGCCAAAUAUGUUCAUAUACAUACACUCACCUACUCGGUGAUUGUACUAGAGUAGAUUUGGGUGCUGAAAUAGCUCAGGACCCCUUCCCCACCAGGUCAAGGUCUUACAGCAUUUCUCCUGUUGACAGCCACGCACACGUACUGGACAUAGCAAGUAGCAGUCUGCAGGCAGGCAAGCCUGCACGCCAGAGCAGACGAAAGCUGAGGAAACAUGAGGGAGACAGGAUUGACGUGCCUGCCUCUCCUUCCCCCACCUUGGGUGAUACGCAUGCCCCAGUCCGAGGAAGAGCUGGGGAAGGAAGGCAGCCAGUACCCAGUUACAACCAGCAGCAACCAUCCCUAAGGGGGACAAGCCCUUCUAGGCAUUACAGGAGAGAGAAGAAGGCUGGUGGUUUCAGGUUGCCCUUCGUUUCAGUCCGUUCAGGCACACAAAAGUCAGAGCGGAGUCAAAAUGAGUGUAAAAAGCAAAAUCAUAAGGAAACAGACAUCAGCCCUCCAGCUGGAUCCCUUAUAAGAAUAAACUGCCAGCACUACGUGCA
Molecule: long non-coding RNA, 1915 nt
Filed under: Calidris pugnax (ruff)
Lineage: Eukaryota; Metazoa; Chordata; Aves; Charadriiformes; Scolopacidae
Description: lncRNA (ENSCPUG00000013208.1)
Source: RNAcentral